AGUGAACGCUGGCGGUAGGCCUAACACAUGCAAGUCGAACGUCAGCACAGUAAGAGCUUGCUCUUACGGGUGGCGAGUGGCGGACGGGUGAGGAAUACAUCGGAAUCUACUUUUUCGUGGGGGAUAACGUAGGGAAACUUACGCUAAUACCGCAUACGACCUACGGGUGAAAGCAGGGGAUCUUCGGACCUUGCGCGAUUGAAUGAGCCGAUGUCGGAUUAGCUAGUUGGCGGGGUAAAGGCCCACCAAGGCGACGAUCCGUAGCUGGUCUGAGAGGAUGAUCAGCCACACUGGAACUGAGACACGGUCCAGACUCCUACGGGAGGCAGCAGUGGGGAAUAUUGGACAAUGGGCGCAAGCCUGAUCCAGCCAUACCGCGUGGGUGAAGAAGGCCUUCGGGUUGUAAAGCCCUUUUGUUGGGAAAGAAAAGCAGCAGGUUAAUACCCCGCUGUUCUGACGGUACACAAAGAAUAAGCACCGGCUAACUUCGUG
RNAcentral lists this ribosomal RNA (492 nucleotides) under uncultured bacterium. RNAcentral's name for it is "partial 16S ribosomal RNA". It matches the Rfam family "Bacterial small subunit ribosomal RNA", at positions 29 to 507 of the family's 1533-position model. The record is from RNAcentral.